AUGGCGGAGGAACCGUCCGCCAAGCGUCAUCAUGCUGAGACGUCGGACAAGAGGAGCAACCUCAUCGACAUUAACGUCCCCGGCGAGAAGCGUGACUACACCAGAACGCUCAAAGGGGUUGAGCUCCAUGGCAAGGAGACGCUGGAGAUCGUCUGCACCAGCGAACCAGACAAGGCCGACGAGGUGAUCUCCAGGCUCUGGAGGAAGCUUGGCGGCAGGAUUCGUAGGAUCAUCGGCGUUGGUGUGCACUACACCAACGAAGAUGAACCUCCCCAGAUGGCGGUAGUCCUGCAGUUGUGCGUCGACGAACUCUGCUUGGUGUACCACAUCGCAGCGACCACAAAAUGGUGA
Molecule: ribosomal RNA, 351 nt
Filed under: Triticum aestivum (bread wheat)
Lineage: Eukaryota; Viridiplantae; Streptophyta; Magnoliopsida; Poales; Poaceae
Description: partial small subunit ribosomal RNA
Source: RNAcentral